RNAcentral lists this ribosomal RNA (1403 nucleotides) under uncultured organism. Its description in RNAcentral is "partial 16S ribosomal RNA". It matches the Rfam family "Bacterial small subunit ribosomal RNA". The record is from RNAcentral.
ACAUGCAAGUCGUACGAGAACCCCGGUGCUUGCAUUGGGGGGAGAGUGGCGAACGGGUGAGUAACACGUGGAUUAUCUGCCUUCAGGUCUGGGAUAACCCCGGGAAACCGGGGCUAAUACCGGAUAAUAUGGCAACAUUAAAGGUGGGGACCUUCGGGCCUAUCGCCUGAAGAUGAGUCCGCGUCCCAUUAGCUUGUUGGUGGGGUAAUGGCCUACCAAGGCGACGAUGGGUAGCCGGCCUGAGAGGGUGUACGGCCACAUUGGGACUGAGAUACGGCCCAGACUCCUACGGGAGGCAGCAGUUAAGAAUCUUGCGCAAUGGGCGAAAGCCUGACGCAGCGACGCCGCGUGGACGAUGAAGGCCUUCGGGUUGUAAAGUCCGGUAAGCAGGGAAGAAUAAGUGUAAAGUAAUAUCUUGCACGAUGACGGUACCUGCCUAAAGCCCCGGCUAACUACGUGCCAGCAGCCGCGGUAAUACGUAUGGGGCAAGCGUUGUUCGGAAUUAUUGGGCAUAAAGGGCGUCUAGGCGGGGGACUAAGUUAGGUGUGAAAGCCCGGGGCUCAACCUCGGAAGUGCUUUGGAUACUGCUUGGCUUGAGUACGUCAGAGGAAAGCGGAAUUCCUGGUGUAGCGGUGAAAUGCGUAGAUAUCAGGAGGAACACCGGUGGCGAAAGCGGCUUUCUGGGACGUUACUGACGCUGAGGCUCGAAAGCGUGGGGAGCGAACGGGAUUAGAUACCCCGGUAGUCCACGCCGUAAACUUUGUGCACUAGGUGUGGGAGGCGUCGACCCCUUCCGUGCCGAAGCUAACGCAUUAAGUGCACCGCCUGGGGAGUACGGCCGCAAGGCUAAAACUCAAAGGAAUUGACGGGGGCCCGCACAAGCGGUGGAGCAUGUUCUUUAAUUCGAUGCAACGCGAAGAACCUUACCCAGGCUUGACAUCCCGCGCUACCCUUGGAAACAAGGGGUUCCCUUCGGGGACGCGGUGACAGGUGUUGCAUGGCUGUCGUCAGCUCGUGUCGUGAGAUGUUGGGUUAAGUCCCGCAACGAGCGCAACCCUUAUCCCUAGUUACCAGCGGUUCGGCCGGGCACUCUAGGGAGACUGCCGGUGAUAAACCGGAGGAAGGUGGGGAUGACGUCAAGUCAGCAUGGCCCUUAUGUCUGGGGCUAGAAACGUGCUACAAUGGCCGGUACAAAGGGCUGCGAGAUCGCGAGAUCGAGCCAAUCCCAAAAAACCGGUCUCAGUUCGGAUUGUAGCCUGCAACUCGACUGCAUGAAGCUGGAAUCGCUAGUAAUCGCGUAUCAGCCACGACGCGCUGAUACGUUCCCGGGCCUUGUACACACCGCCCGUCACGUGACCUGAGUCGGGUGGAGCUGACGUCGCUGACCCAACCCGCAAGGGAGG